GACGAACGCUGGCGGCGUGCCUAAUACAUGCAAGUAGAACGCUGAAGAGAGGAGCUUGCUCUUCUUGGAUGAGUUGCGAACGGGUGAGUAACGCGUAGGUAACCUGCCUGGUAGCGGGGGAUAACUAUUGGAAACAAUAGCUAAUACCGCAUAAAAUUGAUUAUUGCAUGAUAAUUAAUUGAAAGAUGCAACUGCAUCACUACCAGAUGGACCUGCGUUGUAUUAGCUAGUUGGUGAGGUAACGGCUCACCAAGGCGACGAUACAUAGCCGACCUGAGAGGGUGAUCGGCCACACUGGGACUGAGACACGGCCCAGACUCCUACGGGAGGCAGCAGUAGGGAAUCUUCGGCAAUGGGGGGAACCCUGACCGAGCAACGCCGCGUGAGUGAAGAAGGUUUUCGGAUCGUAAAGCUCUGUUGUAAGAGAAGAACGGGUGUGAGAGUGGAAAGUUCACACUGUGACGGUAUCUUACCAGAAAGGGACGGCUAACUACGUG
RNAcentral lists this ribosomal RNA (497 nucleotides) under uncultured bacterium. RNAcentral's name for it is "partial 16S ribosomal RNA". It matches the Rfam family "Bacterial small subunit ribosomal RNA", at positions 28 to 507 of the family's 1533-position model. The record is from RNAcentral.